GAUCCUGGCUCAGAUUGAACGCUGGCGGCAGGCCUAACACAUGCAAGUCGAGCGGUAGCACAGAGAGCUUGCUCUCGGGUGACGGGCGGCGGACGGGUGAGUAAUGUCUGGGAAACUGCCUGAUGGAGGGGGAUAACUACUGGAAACGGUAGCUAAUACCGCAUAACGUCGCAAGACCAAAGUGGGGGACCUUCGGGCCUCAUGCCAUCAGAUGUGCCCAGAUGGGAUUAGCUAG
This 235-nucleotide ribosomal RNA is filed under the name uncultured bacterium. RNAcentral's name for it is "partial 16S ribosomal RNA". It matches the Rfam family "Bacterial small subunit ribosomal RNA", at positions 15 to 248 of the family's 1533-position model. The record is from RNAcentral.